UGCUUUACUUUGUAUCUUUGUUACAAUGUCUGUGUUUGUAGCAGGCAGAGUUUCUACAACAUAAACUAUUUUUUUGCUUAUGUUUUGGAAAGAGAAAAUUCUGAAGGUAAGUCGAAACUCAAAGACCCUAGAUUUCCAGGUGGAAGACUCCUAGGAGAUAGAUCAUCUAGCCCAAUCUUCUUAUUACAGAUGACAAAACUGGGGCUAGAAUGAUUAAGAUUCUUACCAAGUUCAGGCAUCUAGUAAGUGAAAAAGUCAGAAUUUGAACCCAAGUCUUCUUAUGCCAAAUCCAUUACAUUUUCCAUUUUUACCACUUUUAAGGAAACAGCUUGUUGGUAGAGCAGAUACAGCUCUGGACUUGCAAUAAAGAAGACGAGUUCAAAUCUUGCCUUUGACACUUACCAUCUAUAUGGCAAAUCACUUAAACUUUUUUAGCCUCAGUUUCUUUAUUUGUAAGAUGAAAUAAUAAUAGCACUUAACUUCCAGGGUUAUUGUGAGGCUCAAAGGGGAUUACAUGUAUAAAGCAUUUUUCAAACUGAAAGGAACUAUAUAAAUGCUAACCACUAUUAUUACUGUUACCACCAGUCUCUUCUUGUUUACCAACCCCUUCCCCACAUAUAUUUUUUAUUCAUGCUCACACACACACUCCCAGAAGUAUAUUUAAAAGCAGUACAUGCUUUAAGUAACGUUGUACUAUACAAUGACAUGAAUCAUGUAAAUAGCAAGUUUCAUUAGAACUGUCUCCAUGUCACCAAGACUAACUUAAGCCCUUAAUUUAGAAUUCACUGACUAAUGAUGAUUGACAGGUAUACCUAGCAAUCAUUAUCUAUUCUGUUCCCUCGACUAGGUUAUUAUCAAUACUGCAAUUCUUCACUAGUCUGUUAUAAUAAAAAAAGAUGCUAUUCUGGGAAGGAAUUGCUUUCCUAAACAAUAAUUCUUAGGUUUGUAUUUUUCCCUAAGUUACUGACAGGACUUUAUUUUGCACUGAAUCUCAGUAAGAUAUAUGACUCUCCACCAGUCUGUUAAUAAUGAAAAUCAAUCAAUUAGUCAGCAGAUAUUGAUUUAGUACCUGCUACAGGUUAGGCAUUGUGCUAGGGGCUUCCAGCUUUAGAAGCUGCUAUCUGGAGGAGUAACUCCUACCAAAUUCUAGACUACCAUAAGCAGUAUAUAAAUAGUGUCUCUUAAAAGGAAUUAGAUACCCACCUGGUUGACCCCCCCCCCAAAAAAAAAACAACAACAACCUAUAAACAAAUGCUUUUCGUCCAAGUUAUCUACCUAGUAUAAAAAUAACAAGAAAAAAGAAAUCAGUAAAUAGAGUCAAGCCAUUUUCAUCUGUCCUUCUACUAAACACUGGUAUAGUAUAUGAACUCCUUAAAUGGAACCCUUGGUUUUUCUGUAUAGUGAGUACUUAGCACAGUACUUGGCACACAGCAUUUAAUAAAUGAGUUUUCAUUUAUCCAGUAACAAAAAAUAAAACUAUCCCUGCUUUCAAGACGCAUAAGGAGGUGAAUUCACUUGAAACCUGAACAUAUAGGGAUGGUUGAGGAAAUUUUUAGCAUCUCUAUCAAAAAAAAUUACUCCUAUAAAUUAAGAAUAUUAUUUUUAACAAUAAUCUUAAUGAUGCACAGUCACACUCAUUCCUGUAAAGCAAUGGGUAAGAGUACAAUUUGUCAAGUGCUUUCUUUUCUAUAAGGUCAGAGGGGAGAGAGAGGAGAAGGGUGGGAGAGAAGAAAGGAGGAAGGGAGAAAAAAAACACAUAGAGACAGACACACAGAGAGACAAGAGAGGGUGACAGAGAGACACAGAAAGAGACAGAGACAGAAAGAGUGACAGAGACAGAGACAAAAAGAUAAUAAAAGAGAAAAGGGAAGGAGAGACUGAGAAAGGGGAAGAAGAAGGAGAAGACAGGGAAGGGAAGUUGCUCUCAGAUCUGACUGGGAGAAUUAUAAGGUCUCAGCCCUGCCCACAGAAAACAAGAGUCCAAAAGAGGUGGGUUGCUAUAUCUAAUCUAGUCAUAUUCACCUUCCCACUCAACUGCUUCUAACUCCCUCUGAUACUUGGAGAUAAAAUCAGGAGCUUAUUUCAGGCUCAAGUCCAGGUCAGUGGAGGGACUGGUUUUUUUUAAGUCAGGUCAAUUUUGAAUUUAAAAAUUCAAACCUGUUGAUAGUAAUAAACUACUUCUUCCUGGCUUCAGUCCCCCCGGCCCACUGCAAUUCCUUUUGUUCUGCCUGGCAGGUGGUGCCUGUCAUUUGCUCCAUUGACAAGAAUUUAUUAAGCAUCUACUUUGUGUUAGACAUUGUACCAAGGACUGAAGAUACAAGGACAAAAAAAAAAAAAGAAAAAAUCCCAGGUGUCAAGGAACUUAAACUCAAGAAGCCAUGUUACAUGUACGAGUGGGUCUGGAACAAACACAAAAGGAGGGGCAUCUUAUAGAUGGCUGCCUUGUUUGAAGGUGAGGGUGGUUAUGGGGGAGGACAAUCCAAGCGUAGGAGAACUGCCUGUACAAAA
This is a long non-coding RNA of Antechinus flavipes (yellow-footed antechinus), 2508 nucleotides long. RefSeq lists it as uncharacterized. The transcript has 2 exons. Lineage: Eukaryota; Metazoa; Chordata; Mammalia; Dasyuromorphia; Dasyuridae. The record is from RefSeq and is a predicted model, not a curated record.